CGAGGCACUACGGUGCUGAAGCAACAAAUGCCCUGCUUCCAGGAAAAGCCUCUAAGCAUCAGGUAACAUCAAAUCGUACCCCAAACCGACACAGGUGGUCAGGUAGAGAAUACCAAGGCGCUUGAGAGAACUCGGGUGAAGGAACUAGGCAAAAUGGUGCCGUAACUUCGGGAGAAGGCACGCUGACACGUAGGUGAAGUGAUUUACUCAUGGAGCUGAAGUCAGUCGAAGAUACCAGCUGGCUGCAACUGUUUAUUAAAAACACAGCACUGUGCAAACACGAAAGUGGACGUAUACGGUGUGACGCCUGCCCGGUGCCGGAAGGUUAAUUGAUGGGGUCAGCGCAAGCGAAGCUCCUGAUCGAAGCCCCGGUAAACGGCGGCCGUAACUAUAACGGUCCUAAGGUAGCGAAAUUCCUUGUCGGGUAAGUUCCGACCUGCACGAAUGGCGUAAUGAUGGCCAGGCUGUCUCCACCCGAGACUCAGUGAAAUUGAACUCGCUGUGAAGAUGCAGUGUACCCGCGGCAAGACGGAAAGACCCCGUGAACCUUUACUAUAGCUUGACACUGAACAUUGAGCCUUGAUGUGUAGGAUAGGUGGGAGGCUUUGAAGUGUGGACGCCAGUCUGCAUGGAGCCGACCUUGAAAUACCACCCUUUAAUGUUUGAUGUUCUAACGUGGACCCGUUACCCGGGUUGCGGACAGUGUCUGGUGGGUAGUUUGACUGGGGCGGUCUCCUCCUAAAGAGUAACGGAGGAGCACGAAGGUUGGCUAAUCCUGGUCGGACAUCAGGAGGUUAGUGCAAUGGCAUAAGCCAGCUUGACUGCGAGCGUGACGGCGCGAGCAGGUGCGAAAGCAGGUCAUAGUGAUCCGGUGGUUCUGAAUGGAAGGGCCAUCGCUCAACGGAUAAAAGGUACUCCGGGGAUAACAGGCUGAUACCGCCCAAGAGUUCAUAUCGACGGCGGUGUUUGGCACCUCGAUGUCGGCUCAUCACAUCCUGGGGCUGAAGUAGGUCCCAAGGGUAUGGCUGUUCGCCAUUUAAAGUGGUACGCGAGCUGGGUUUAGAACGUCGUGAGACAGUUCGGUCCCUAUCUGCCGUGGGCGCUGGAGAACUGAGGGGGGCUGCUCCUAGUACGAGAGGACCGGAGUGGACGCAUCACUGGUGUUCGGGUUGUCAUGCCAAUGGCACUGCCCGGUAGCUAAAUGCGGAAGAGAUAAGUGCUGAAAGCAUCUAAGCACGAAACUUGCCCCGAGAUGAGUUCUCCCUGAGACUUAAAGUCUCCUGAAGGAACGUUGAAGACGACGACGUUGAUAGGCCGGGUGUGUAAGCGCAGCGAUGCGUUGAGCUAACCGGUACUAAUGAACCGU
This 1366-nucleotide ribosomal RNA is filed under the name Salmonella enterica. RNAcentral's name for it is "partial 23S ribosomal RNA". It matches the Rfam family "Bacterial large subunit ribosomal RNA", at positions 1570 to 2912 of the family's 2925-position model. The record is from RNAcentral. Lineage: Bacteria; Pseudomonadati; Pseudomonadota; Gammaproteobacteria; Enterobacterales; Enterobacteriaceae.